GACGUAGGGCGCGAGCGUUGUCCGGAUUUAUUGGGCGUAAAGAGCUCGUAGGCGGCUUGUCGCGUCGGCCGUGAAAACCUGGGGCUCAACUCUGGGCGUGCGGUCGAUACGGGCAUCACUUGAGUUCGGCAGGGGAGACUGGAAUUCCUGGUGUAGCGGUGAAAUGCGCAGAUAUCAGGAGGAACACCGGUGGCGAAGGCGGGUCUCUGGGCCGAUACUGACGCUGAGGCACGAAAGCGUGGGGAGCAAACAGG
This 254-nucleotide ribosomal RNA is filed under the name uncultured bacterium. RNAcentral's name for it is "partial 16S ribosomal RNA". It matches the Rfam family "Bacterial small subunit ribosomal RNA", at positions 524 to 776 of the family's 1533-position model. The record is from RNAcentral.